UGAGCCCUCUGCUUGACACGGACAGUGGUUUCCUUACAAUAGGUAGUAUCUCAUUUAUGUUGGGUGAAGAAGAUAUGUGAUAUACUAGUUGAACUUAAAAAUAUGUGUAGAUUACUGAACAGACCACAGGCUAGGGAUCAAAAAGCUCUUAAUGAGAUAUCAUUUGAUUAAUCCAAAGCAACAUUUAUCGUUCAUCACAACGAAAUGGAAUUCAAAAUUUGAUAACUAAGGUGAAGGGAUAUGGAUACUCUUGGGCCUAACCUUGAACUUAAUUAUAUCAUACUAUGUUAUUAAACAUAAGAUAUCCAAAUUUCAAUGAAAGAGUGACUUUAAAUUCAAUUGACAGUUAACGUUUAACUGUAUCAAAUUGGAAAAAA
Abrus precatorius (Indian licorice) is the source of this 377-nucleotide long non-coding RNA. RefSeq lists it as uncharacterized. NCBI's taxonomy places the organism in Eukaryota, Viridiplantae, Streptophyta, Magnoliopsida, Fabales, Fabaceae. The record is from RefSeq and is a predicted model, not a curated record. The transcript has 2 exons.